This 643-nucleotide ribosomal RNA is filed under the name uncultured crenarchaeote. Its description in RNAcentral is "bacterial SSU rRNA". It matches the Rfam family "Archaeal small subunit ribosomal RNA", at positions 331 to 977 of the family's 1478-position model. The record is from RNAcentral. Lineage: Archaea; Thermoproteati; Thermoproteota.
CGCAGCAGUUGCGAAAACUCCACAAUGCACGAAAGUGUGAUGGGGCUACCCCGAGUGCCGUCCGCUGAGGAUGGCUUUUCUCUGCUGUAAGGAGGCAGAGGAAUAAGGAGAGGGCAAGUCUGGUGUCAGCCGCCGCGGUAAUACCAGCUCUCCGAGUGGUAGGGAUGAUUAUUGGGCUUAAAGCGUCCGUAGCCGGCUUGACAAGUCUUCUGUUAAAUCCAGCAACCCAAUUGUUGGACUGCGGGAGAUACUGCCAAGCUAGAGAACGGGAGAAGCCGACGGUACUCUCAGGGUAGGAGUGAAAUCCUAUAAUCCUGGGAGGACCACCAGUGGCGUAGGCUGUCGGCUAGAACGUGUCUGACGGUGAGGGACGAAAGCUUGGGGAGCGAACCGGAUUAGAUACCCGGGUAGUCCAAGCUGUAAACGAUGCGGGCUAGGUGUUGGGGUGGCUACGUGCCACUUCAGUGCCGCAGGGAAGCCGUUAAGCCCGCCGCCUGGGGAGUACGGUCGCAAGGCUGAAACUUAAAGGAAUUGGCGGGGGAGCACCACAAGGGGUGAAGCUUGCGGUUUAAUUGGAGUCAACGCCGGGAACCUUACCGGGGGCGACAGCAGAAUGAAGGCCAGAUUUAAGUCUUGCUAGACG